ACAAAGACCAUGACGGGAAGAGUAGGAUAGCAGGAAAUGAUUAGCGAGCCGAUGAGGGUGAAAGUUCGGCCAUGGCAGGUUAUCUGAAGAACAUCCCCGAGUCGCCAACCGAAAUCACAGCCUGUGAGAGUAGACUUGGACGUCAACUGCACGUUACAGCAGAAGGGGUAUCGAUGUGAUUGUCCGUACCCGUCAAUGAGAGAGCCUAUGCUAAUUAAGGUGGCACCGCGAAAACAACCUUCGUCCUUAAA
This 251-nucleotide non-coding RNA is filed under the name unidentified. RNAcentral describes it as "Delta proteobacterium T-box sequence". It matches the Rfam family "T-box leader". From Rfam's summary of the family: Uncharged tRNA acts as the effector for transcription antitermination of genes in the T-box leader family. T-boxes are found upstream of many aminoacyl-tRNA synthetase genes and some amino acid biosynthetic genes usually in Gram-positive bacteria. The anticodon of a specific tRNA base pairs to a specifier sequence within the T-box motif, and the NCCA acceptor tail of the tRNA base pairs to a conserved bulge in the T-box antiterminator hairpin. The record is from RNAcentral.